UUAAAAGCGAUGAUGAGAGCUAGUAGCUAGACGAUCCUGUUAGAGAGUUGCAACCAUGAGCUGAGAAUUGCAAUCAGUGAUCUAAAGCGAAUUUCACUUUCGGAGCUGAUACGUAAUGGUAUUCCGGCCAAUCACCGUUAUUGAUUAUUUGAGUGUGUAGGAUUCGUUUCUACAAACUAGGGUGGUACCGCGAAGCCUCGUCCCUAUC
Molecule: non-coding RNA, 208 nt
Filed under: Limosilactobacillus reuteri
Lineage: Bacteria; Bacillati; Bacillota; Bacilli; Lactobacillales; Lactobacillaceae
Description: Lactobacillus reuteri T-box
Rfam family: T-box leader
About the family: Uncharged tRNA acts as the effector for transcription antitermination of genes in the T-box leader family. T-boxes are found upstream of many aminoacyl-tRNA synthetase genes and some amino acid biosynthetic genes usually in Gram-positive bacteria. The anticodon of a specific tRNA base pairs to a specifier sequence within the T-box motif, and the NCCA acceptor tail of the tRNA base pairs to a conserved bulge in the T-box antiterminator hairpin.
Source: RNAcentral